AUUCCUGCUAUGUCUCAGCUAGGUGAGCAGUGCGGCUCCUGUCCAAGGGAAUUGAGAACCAAAUUGCUUUUAUGCUCAUGAUAGUGGCCUCUGUUUUCAGUCACUUAGAUAAAUUAAGACCCAGCACAGAACAACUGUCACCAGGUUUGAAGUCACGGCUGAGACUGAAGUUACCUAGUCAUCAUGUUUUCCAAAGGGAGAAAAAUCUUCCUGAACCAAUCUGCACCCACGUGGUUUA
Long non-coding RNA from Pipistrellus kuhlii (Kuhl's pipistrelle), 238 nucleotides. RefSeq lists it as uncharacterized. Lineage: Eukaryota; Metazoa; Chordata; Mammalia; Chiroptera; Vespertilionidae. The transcript has 3 exons. The record is from RefSeq and is a predicted model, not a curated record.